AGUUCUGUUUCGGGUAUCUGGUGCGGGUAAUCCAACAUUUUUUUUUUUUUGGAUUUUUGGAAUCCAUCGAAACCGAAUAUGUUUGUAAUCCAUCCAAGCCCAAAAAGAGCCCAAAGACAUUAGAUAAAUGUAUGGUCCUCUUGAAAAUAGGGUUGGUCUCCAGAUCUUGGAUUAUUUUUCGAGGUUUGAAGAGCGAUGGGAAUGAGUUCGUUUUACAGCGAUAUAUACGAGGUGGUGGAUGAUCCAUCGCUGGAUUCAAUAAUCUCAUGGAGCAAAAGCAACAAGAGUUUUGUCAUCUGGGAUCCGAAAGAGCUAGUCGAAAAGAUUCUUCCGAGACUUCUUCACUACAAGUUGUCACACUUUAUAACCGAAAUUGAAAUCUAUGGAUUUGUAAGAAUUGAGGGGUCUGAGACAUGAGCAAUACUUCGUGAGAGGUAAACCUGAGCUUUUGACGAAGAUGCGUUACCAAGCUGUCUCGAAUAUGGUGAAGAAAGGUAGAGAAGAACAAGAGAAGAAGAUCUCUGUGGGAGAUCAGAUGAUGAGUGGCAGAUAUGCACCUAUUAGGUUCAACAAAUUUAAGAGAUCACCAAAGAAAUCAUCAAAGAAAUCAUUAAAGAAAGCUAAAGCUAUAACGCCACUGGAGACAAUCUACGAGUGAUAUGCCAUUAGACAAAACUUUGUCAUCAGUUGCUUUCUAUACUUUGCGAUGAAUGUUACUCCUCACAAAUUGUAUCUUCGCAAGCAAUCGUGUGUGUGUGUUUUUUUUUAUAUUCUUCGUUCGUGAUGCAUUGUGAUCCAUCAGGUCUUACACCUGAGAAACCAACCAUUAUAUCUGAAAGCUCGACUUACAUUCUAGCUGCCCGGUUCAAUGCUUCUCCCCUUGAGGAUUGAGGUCAAUCAUCAUCUAAAGAAUUCAUGUCAAUUGCUUUUUCUUAGUUUAUGUAUUAUUUUGUUUCUAUCAACCAUGACAUGUUUUGAGAUCAAAGUACUCAGAUGGAGGAGGUGGCGAAAUUGAUCAACGGGAAGGAAAUUGACUUGGGGGAGUUAAAGACGCAAGCUAAUCAAGCCCAUAUUUUAAAGCAUUACAAGAUAACUAAUCAAGAACUCGGGAUAUCCUCUCUAGGAGAUGCCAUUGUUUGCCGGAUCUCUGCACGCAACGCUUUGUAAAAGGAAAGACAUCUCUUCUUUUGUGUUCUUAUAGUUUUUUUUCUUUCUCAGUUAUACCUACAUGUGACAAUUUGUUUAGUAAUUCAUUGCAUCUUUUAUAACCCGAA
Molecule: long non-coding RNA, 1274 nt
Organism: Brassica napus (rape)
Lineage: Eukaryota; Viridiplantae; Streptophyta; Magnoliopsida; Brassicales; Brassicaceae
Exons: 3
Source: RefSeq, a predicted model, not a curated record